UUGUACACUUUUUUUUUUUCCUUUUUCACGUGUUUCCUCCACUCUUAGUAAAACCAAAUGAAUUUCUCAAGGAAAAAGAAAUUGGCCCUAUCUUCUUCCAGUUAGUCAUGAUGCAGUGAAAAAAUUAAACGCCCAAAGAGAAUCACUAUCUGUGGAUCCAUUCUAUUUUCUCCUCUUCUGAUUUCCUUGUUGCCAUCUUUUCAACCGUGUGGUAAAUGAGACGGUGUGAUGUGUGAGCAAGCGAUGAUUUCAAGGAAAAGUUCAUCAUAUCUCAACUAUUAACCUUCUGAUUUAUUCUUUGAGUGUUGGCUGAGAGUGGGAUCAAAACAUUCCUCAAGCACUUUGGAAGCUCUUUUGAACACGAACUUCAGUAACAUUAAUGGCUCCUUCGUCUGGAGUAUAGGUUAUUUCUUAUGGAUGAAAAUUGUCAAUGGCAUGAGCAAAGUCGGAAAAAGGGAGGGGUACUUGAAAGAGAGAUAUGAUUGUGGCAUGUUCGCAAUCAAGUACAUGCAACAUUGGAAUGGGGCCACACUAGCACAUUCAAUUGCGGAGGACAAGAUGCAUUUAUAUUGAUUGAGGCUGGUCGUUACCUUGGUCACGAAUGUGGCAAACAAUGAUAGAGAGGUCAUGAAGGCAUGUCGAAUGUGACAUAUGAGGGUUGUGCCACUUUUGUUAGUUGCAAUUUAUGAACUACUAAAUAUAAAAGAUAAUGUCAAAGAGAAAGGAAAGACAACAUGUCUGUAUAUAAUCAUGGUUUGCUUUAUUUGUUUGUUAAUAGUGUUUGCCACUAUGCACCAAUUUAUGCUAACGCGAUAAUGCACACUGGGACAAUAGUGGAAACAUUUGUCAGGAUAAUAUGGUGGGAUUUUUUGAACUUCUAACCAUCCCUUUGUCUUUUAUUCCAUGAUGCUCCAUUAAUUUUAUUGUUCAUGCUUAUUGUCUUUUGUCUUACAAGAAAGGUUGAGCAUAGCCACAAAUUGGCCUAUGUUAAGUGCAUCAGCAAGGCUAAGUGUGAUUAAUAAAGGCCACUUGGAACAGGGAAGGUCAUUGAUGUCACCUUACUUGCCUGAGAGUGGGGCUGGUGGUGGCAGCAAUCCAUAAUCAGAAGGCGACAAUUAGAAAACAUAAUUGUUGACAACCAUGAAGACACCAUGACAAAAAUAGGAGCAAUGUUACACUUCAGAAUCGUGGCUGCUAGAGAAAAGGAUGUGAUCAUACGACAUUCUCAUCAUCACUCAGACUUUAUAAUAUAACUGUUCAUAUUUUGCUUUUUGUUUGUAAAUUUAGGCAUGCCCAAUACCAGAGCUCUCUAAAAACUUUAUAGAUACAUCAUAAUUGGUUUUUUUUGGUUUACCAUUUUUACUUUGGGCACCCAUUGCAUACUUCCGAUAUAUUUGGGUUGUGCCCCCACUUCUGUUAGGUGGUUUUAGAUUAAUUUAUCAACAACUUAAAAAAAUACAGUGGUAUAUGAAAUUUGGUUGAGCUAAAGAGGUUACUCCAUGACCUCUUUGCAGGUGUGUAGUUCUAUGAGAGCCAUGCAAUAUGAGAAACUAUUGCCUAGGUUGAAGAACUUGCUUUCUAUUCAGCAUACUAUUUGGCCAAGGUAAUUAUUGCUAUAUGAGAGGUGAAGCUGGAAUUUUUAAGUUUGUUUUAGAAGCCAUCUUUGUCAUCUAUGUUUACGAAUUUUGUUCGGUACGAUAGAUUUUUCUUUCAACUUCAUUCAUACUGGACCUAUGUUUCUUCCAAUGCAUUACAUGCAGGCUUAUUCUUUAUUUUGCUUGCUGGAAGGAGGUUAACACCCAUUCUAAUAAUAGUUGAUUAUGCUUUUACAUAAUUCAUUGCAGUACGAUGUGUUUGAUAUUGGCUUUAUAACCACGGAUGACUUCACAAAUGUAGACAUAUCGGAAGCAACUUACCCAGCUGUUGCAAAGAGGUUAUAUAAUGAUUGGAUUAAUGGUCCUGCAAUUCCCAUAGUUACUGGGUUGGAAAUCUGGUGCAGUUACUACCUUGGGUAGGGGUGGGAGUGAUUUGAUAGCCACAUCC
Vitis riparia (riverbank grape) is the source of this 2043-nucleotide long non-coding RNA. RefSeq lists it as uncharacterized. The transcript has 7 exons. The record is from RefSeq and is a predicted model, not a curated record. NCBI's taxonomy places the organism in Eukaryota, Viridiplantae, Streptophyta, Magnoliopsida, Vitales, Vitaceae.